This 504-nucleotide ribosomal RNA is filed under the name uncultured bacterium. RNAcentral describes it as "partial 16S ribosomal RNA". It matches the Rfam family "Bacterial small subunit ribosomal RNA", at positions 30 to 523 of the family's 1533-position model. The record is from RNAcentral.
AUUGAACGCUGGCGGCAGGCCUAACACAUGCAAGUCGAGCGGUAACACAGGGAGCUUGCUCCUGGGUGACGAGCGGCGGACGGGUGAGUAAUGUCUGGGAAACUGCCUGAUGGAGGGGGAUAACUACUGGAAACGGUAGCUAAUACCGCAUAACGUCGCAAGACCAAAGAGGGGGACCUUCGGGCCUCUUGCCAUCAGAUGUGCCCAGAUGGGAUUAGCUAGUAGGUGGGGUAACGGCUCACCUAGGCGACGAUCCCUAGCUGGUCUGAGAGGAUGACCAGCCACACUGGAACUGAGACACGGUCCAGACUCCGACGGGAGGCAGCAGUGGGGAAUAUUGCACAAUGGGCGCAAGCCUGAUGCAGCCAUGCCGCGUGUAUGAAGAAGGCCUUCGGGUUGUAAAGUACUUUCAGCGGGGAGGAAGGCGAUAAGGUUAAUAACCUUGUCGAUUGACGUUACCCGCAGAAGAAGCACCGGCUAACUCCGUGCCAGCAGCCGCAGUAA